This 157-nucleotide ribosomal RNA is filed under the name Alternaria alternata. Its description in RNAcentral is "5.8S ribosomal RNA". The stretch from base 30 to 157 matches the Rfam family "5.8S ribosomal RNA", at positions 1 to 128 of the family's 154-position model. From Rfam's summary of the family: 5.8S ribosomal RNA (5.8S rRNA) is a component of the large subunit of the eukaryotic ribosome. It is transcribed by RNA polymerase I as part of the 45S precursor that also contains 18S and 28S rRNA. The record is from RNAcentral. Lineage: Eukaryota; Fungi; Ascomycota; Dothideomycetes; Pleosporales; Pleosporaceae.
AUCAGCGUCAGUAACAAAUUAAUAAUUACAACUUUCAACAACGGAUCUCUUGGUUCUGGCAUCGAUGAAGAACGCAGCGAAAUGCGAUAAGUAGUGUGAAUUGCAGAAUUCAGUGAAUCAUCGAAUCUUUGAACGCACAUUGCGCCCUUUGGUAUUC